Long non-coding RNA from Branchiostoma floridae (Florida lancelet), 1082 nucleotides. RefSeq lists it as uncharacterized. The transcript is spliced from 3 exons. The record is from RefSeq and is a predicted model, not a curated record. Lineage: Eukaryota; Metazoa; Chordata; Leptocardii; Amphioxiformes; Branchiostomatidae.
GUAUAUUGUCGAAUAUGUAUCUCAUCAUAUUUGACUACGCGAUUUAUUUGAGACUGUUUGAUUUUAAUGUUUGAAAUGUUUAACGAUGUUAGUUCUACGUAAAUCCUUCAUUUGACGGUUAGCGAUAGUCCAGAUGUUUCCGCGCAUUGAUACAAGAGAGGUCCUUCUCUUGUGUGUGGAAUUCAGUCAGUGCAGGGCGGCCAUUGUGAGGUCCCUAGAGGUGUACAGCAUGGCACAUGGGUCUGGUACAGACUGGAGGUCUCUGAAGUGUUCUCUACAAGUGUAGAUCACUAUAUCUACAGCGGGAUGCUGAGACAACACUACCCCACUACCUGCUCCUUGAUGAGAACAGUAGCAGCUGCAAUGUAUAUUCCAUACACCAAAAUAUAAACAUAGGUGACAGAGCAAAACUAUUGGCAAUGGCCUAACAUCCAGUUUACUCAGGUUCUGUUAGUCAGGUCUUAAAAUAUUACAGCUGUCCAGCCUCUUGGAAACCCAGACUUCGGGGACUGUGCCUCUGGUACAGUGGGGGCUGGUUCAGCUAAGUUAGAUGGGUUUGCUGGAUGUCAAGGCCACAAAUAAUAUUUCGUCUCUUUUGCUCUAGUUCCUGUUGUCACGGUCACGCUUGGUCGCCUUUCUGUUUGUCCUUAAGUACAACCUUGAGUUGCGGAAGAAUGUAACGCCAAGUCGGAUGCCAGCUAACAUUGUGCCAAUGGAAGUGCCUGCUCUAUGAUGUCGGGCAGCAUGAAGAGGUGGCGUGUCAGCUUGGGAGGGUCCAGGUCUUUCCCAAAGACAGACGACGUGACUUCAUUGGCCGCGUCCAGGAGGAGCUUCCCCAUGGCAACGAGAGGCUUCUGGAAGUCCUGGUCAAACCCCGACAAACGAGAACUUUGACAACCUGCGCGGCCGUAGAAUCCGAAUAAUGUUCUUAUGGGCACUAUCUAUGCUCUGCGACCUGGCCCUGAUGUCCAUCACAGCGUUGUGGCCCAGGCUGCCUAGGGAGCCCGGAAACAUGUCCGUUAACAUUCUGACGUCGUCCUCUACAUGAGAUGAGCUUGGAGCGCGAGAUUACUAGUAACUUG